Molecule: ribosomal RNA, 430 nt
Filed under: uncultured Clostridium sp.
Lineage: Bacteria; Bacillati; Bacillota; Clostridia; Eubacteriales; Clostridiaceae
Description: partial 16S ribosomal RNA
Rfam family: Bacterial small subunit ribosomal RNA
Source: RNAcentral
ACGGGAGGCAGCAGUGGGGAAUAUUGCACAAUGGGGGAAACCCUGAUGCAGCGACGCCGCGUGAGUGAAGAAGUUAUUCGUAAUGUAAAGCUCUAUCAGCAGGGAAGAAAAUGACGGUACCUGACUAAGAAGCCCCGGCUAACUACGUGCCAGCAGCCGCGGUAAUACGUAGGGGGCAAGCGUUAUCCGGAUUUACUGGGUGUAAAGGGAGUGUAGGUGGUUUGGUAAGUCAGAUGUGAAAGCCCGCGGCUCAACUGCGGGACUGCAUUUGAGACUAUCAAACUAGAGUGCAGGAGAGGAAAGUGGAAUUCCUAGUGUAGCGGUGAAAUGCGUAGAUAUUAGGAAGAACACCAGUGGCGAAGGCGGCUUUCUGGACUGUAACUGACACUGAGGCUCGAAAGCGUGGGGAGCAAACAGGAUUAGAUACCCU